This is a long non-coding RNA of Mytilus californianus (California mussel), 841 nucleotides long. RefSeq lists it as uncharacterized. The record is from RefSeq and is a predicted model, not a curated record. The transcript is spliced from 3 exons. NCBI's taxonomy places the organism in Eukaryota, Metazoa, Mollusca, Bivalvia, Mytilida, Mytilidae.
UUAAAAACCAAUUGUUCAAAGAACAAUUGAAGGUCUUUCCACAUCAAUUUUCUAAAUAAUUGAUGAGAAGCUAAUUCUGGUUUACUCAAAGCUACUAUUGGCGUCCAAUCAUAGGUUUCUUCAUACUGAUUCAAUAAACAUAUGGUUUCUAUAGACUUUUGCCUGAAAUAAGGGAGAUAAUUGUCAACUUCCGGUUUAGAAAAUAACACUUCCGGUCUCAUAUGAUAGCUUUAAUUACACUGAUUCCAAAAAUAUAUGGUUUAUAUAUACUUUUGCCUGUAAAAAGGAAGAUAAUUGGCUACUUCCGGUUUAGAAAAUGUCACUUCCGGUCUCAUAUGAUAUAUUUAUUUACACUGAUUCCAAAAAUAUAUGGUUUAUAUAUACUUUUGCCUGUAAAAAGGGAGAUAAUUGGCUACUUCCGGUUUAGAAAAUGUCACUUUCGGUCUCAUAUGAUAGCUUUAUUUACACUGAUUCAAAAAAUAUAUGGUUUAUAUAUACUUAUGCCUGUAAUAAUGGAGAUAAUAUGGUACUUCCGGUUUAUAAAAUAUCAUUUCCGGUCUCAAAUGAUAGAUUAAUGUAUGACCAUUCAAAAAAUAUAUGGUUUCUAUGUACUUCUACAUGAAAUAAGUGCAAAAAUGACCACUUCCGGUUCACUCAAUGUCACUUCCGGUUGACAUUUUUCAAGGUCAUAUGUCACCCAACAUUUUGCAAAAGAUCUUAUGGCUUUAUCAUGUACCAAUAUGAAGUAAUAAUCAAUUUACCUUAAAAUAAAACAUUUCAGGGGCAAUAACUCCAAUAAGAUGUCGCUGGAUUGUCUCAGACCAAAUGUAUCAUAUCUUCA